GUCUCUUCAGGACGUCCAAUAGAAUUGGAACGAUACUGAGAAAAUUAACAUGAUCCAUGUGUAAGGAUGACAUGCACAAAUCGAGAAAUGGUCUAAAUUUAA
Molecule: non-coding RNA, 102 nt
Organism: Eucalyptus grandis
Lineage: Eukaryota; Viridiplantae; Streptophyta; Magnoliopsida; Myrtales; Myrtaceae
Source: Rfam